Molecule: long non-coding RNA, 897 nt
Organism: Megalobrama amblycephala (Wuchang bream)
Lineage: Eukaryota; Metazoa; Chordata; Actinopteri; Cypriniformes; Xenocyprididae
Exons: 2
Source: RefSeq, a predicted model, not a curated record
UUAUCAUUUUCACAUCUUUUUAUUGCUCCUAGAAUAAGCAAAUCAGCUGUGCAAUCAUCUUUGGAAUUUGGGCAGGAAAUUACAGAAUAUGGUGAGUUCUGACACCUGUUUUCACCAAAACUAUUUUUCUGGAGUUAUUAUUGACUAAUUGUUUUGUCUGAUUGUUUGAAGGAGGAUGAAGUCAGUUGAUUAAGAAAUUGGCAUGUUGUAUUUGUAAUAAAGAGUUUUCAACACAUUACUGAUUUGUUUUGACUGCUUGUAUUAUGUUCUCAUUUUCUACUUGUAGAGGUAGAGAAGCUGGCAGCCGGCACUGAAAACACUCAAUGCUGAGGUCAGACCUUACAGAAGUGGUCAGAGAAGCAGGUUUGCGUCCAGAGAUGAUGGAGUCUUUGUUGACGGGAGUAUUCUAUGGCCACCAAGUGCAGCACUGCAGCCUGAAACCAUCACUUAUCUGCUGUGAAGACUUCUUUUUCCUAACAGCUCUACUGUGACAACUCAGAUGCUAUGGCCCAUAAAAGUAAACAUCACAACCGUGUGAACUGAGAGAUAAACAAUGGACUUCAUCUCCUGGUUGAGAAAAAGCUACACGCAUCAGUGGUGCUGAUGAACUAUUUGAGCUGCUUCAAAUUCACAUCACCAGGGACCACACAUGGCCCAUCCACACUGAUGCAGUGCUGAAGAAGGCUCAUCAGUGUCUUUUCUUCCUCAGACAGAUGAGGAAGUUCAGUGUGAGCCCCAAAACCCUGAAAUCAUUUUACACAUGCACUGUGGAGAACAUCCUGACUGGCUGCAUCCCUGCCUGGUGUAGGAACAGCACUGCCCUCAACUGCAAAGCUCUGCAGAGAGCGUUACGACCUGCACAGAACAUUGUUGGAGGUGAGCUUCCCUCCCUCCAGG